GAAUAUUGCGCAAUGGAGGCAACUCUGACGCAGCAACGCCGCGUGCGGGAAGAAGGUUUUCGGAUCGUAAACCGCUUUUUUGCCGGAAGAGCACGGACGGUACGGCAAGAAUAAGUCCCGGCUAACUAAGUUCCAGCAGCCGCGGUAAAACGUAGGAGGCGAGCGUUAUCCGGAUUUACUGGGCGUAAAGCGCGUGCAGGCGGUUAAGUAAGUCGUGCGUGAAAGCUCCCUGGCUCAACCGGGAGAGGUCGUGCGAUACUGCUUAACUAUGAGGCAGGUAGAGGCAAGUGGAAUUCCGGGUGUAGUGGUGAAAUGCGUAGAUAUCCGGAGGAACAUCAGUGGCGAAGGCGACUUGCUGGCCCUGACCUGACGCUCAGACGCGAAAGCAUGGGGAGCGAACGGG
This 403-nucleotide ribosomal RNA is filed under the name uncultured bacterium. RNAcentral's name for it is "bacterial SSU rRNA". It matches the Rfam family "Bacterial small subunit ribosomal RNA", at positions 359 to 776 of the family's 1533-position model. The record is from RNAcentral.